CAUUACUUCAAUAUACACUUUUAAACUUUGUGGUUGAGUAACUUUGCAAGUGAACUCCAGUCCUACUGGGAAUCACAGGCCUACACAAACAAACCAAAGUCCAAAAAGAGAUAACGGUCUGAGCAAAGGGCAGAACGUGGACACAGGGGGAAAAAGGAAGAAAGCAGGCUGCCCAGCCUAGAAAAAACGUCGUACAGAAUCAGUGAGCCUGACCUACUGGCUUCCUGCCACGACUCUGCUCCGUACCUCGCCAGAGCACUUUACUGUAAAAUGGUGGUAUGGAUUCCAAAGAUGACACUAUAUAGAUACUCUGGACGCCUUUCACACAACUACUUACUGAGCCGUACUUGCCAAGAUGUAGGAGGAUCUGAUGUUCAAGACUCAGUAACAGAUUCUGCUAUGUAAAUGCUGAAAAUACAAGAAGGAUGGUUUGAGCGUACGUGUUUAACGUUGUUGUGUACCAAGGGACCAGAGAAAUUACUGAAACCGCAGGCAUUCUCCUUGCUACAAACUAAGAGCUCUCUCAAAAGAGAUGUGGAUCUUUCCAAGCCCUUCUGGAGCAUUUAUGCGAUGCUUUACAGUCAACCACAGAAGAGCACUCUCUGAGGCAGAACGGGAGAAAGAGCACCUGGGACCUUCUGUUCCUUCCCCUGAUCUAAAUCUUAUUUCACAGAGCUAUUUACUGUUGGAACCCAACACAAGAAAAAAAUAGAAGAAACUGGAAGGCAUUCUGAGACAACAGUAAUCUCAGUGUUCACCUUAAUAUCAACCAGAACUGAAAACCCCUGAAUAUACUAUAAGGAGCCAGAAAAAUAUAAUGCAACAAAAAAGAUUAUCUUAAUUUAGAAAACUGACAAUUUCCCGAGCCACAGGUGGUAAGUGGGAGAAGAAAUAACUAACUCUGAAGAGAGACUGGAAACACCAACAUUAGCCACCUUAUAUAUUACAUGAUAAUGAGUUUGAAAUCCUAUUAAGAAAAUAGGUGCAGAAGAACACACAGUGUGCAUUGGUACAAUACUGAUGUUUGUUGAUGUAUUAAUCCUGAAAAUUCUUUAUUAGUUUGUCUUUUACAAUAUGCCAAGUGCAAUCUCUGUAGUAAAAUGAGGAUUUAAAAGAAAGUGGCUGUUGAGAUUUAAGAAUUAGCGUUUAUAAUCAAACCAUAAACGAUGAAAAACCUUAAGUCUCUAACUGUUAAAUUACAAGUAAUACAAGCAUUUGUAUUCUGAAACUCAAAAAUAAAAUACUAUUUUCCUGUUCAAAACUGUUCUAGUGAUGUAGAGAGCUAAAAGAAUAAACAUCCAGCAUGUAGUUUGUGCAUUUAAAGCGCUCCACACCCACUGAAGAAAAAGUGGUAGAGAUUUCUUUAAAUCUCUUAAAAGCUGCUCACUGCUGCUUUAAACGUCAGUGAUUGAAAUAAUAUUUUGUACUUCCUUUUUUAUAAUUUCAUUUUUUUACUUCACUACCCACUUAUAACAAAGAAGGGCUUAGAGAAUUGUCUGGUAUACUAAAAGUAUCGUGUGACCUUUCCAGAUGUCAGAAGUGCACUGAACGUGUGACAAGGCAAACAAGAGCCAUUCCUGAUGAUGAACAGCCCUGUCAUUUAAUUAUGAGUUUCGAGAAGAGAUUCAAGUUGUCAAGAGCCACUUUCUGGAGGUAAAUCAAAAUGUGAGAUUAAAUUCCCCGAGAGCUCUCAGUAUAUUACAAUUAAGAAGUUAAAUUAAAUCUUGUUAUGUUGAUUUGUCUAACUUUUAUAAAGUUAGAAUUAGAUUCAAUGCAACUUUAUGUAGAAGGUAGGCUUUUCUAUUUGAAUUACCCAGUGACUGUUGAUCAACUUUGUUACUGUAGUUUCUUAGAUGAAAAACAAAAAAAAUUGUGUAAUCAUCACUGCAAAAAAUAGAUAAUUACAAUUUCUCAAUUAUUUUCCCAUGUACUGCUUAAAUUCAGCCUUCUUAAUUGGGCAAAUAGAAGUGAUUUUAACCUCAGUUUCUGAGACAUCGUAAAAUACUGCUUUGGUAUUGAUAGAGGUGAAAGGUACUUACAUAAGAUUCCACAGAUCAGCAAUUACUUCUGUUAUACAUAAUUCAAUAAAUACAAGUAAAAAACUAUUUUUUAAAUUUAAGCAGCUGAUGCUUUAAUGUAUUUCAAAGCUUUCAGUCAAAAUGAGUGCUGUAUUCGAUGUUGCUGACACAACACAGUAGAGACUCCCAUCUAUCCAGAUUAAUGUAUCAAAAUAAGAUUAUUUUAGUAAUGCUUUUCCUUCCAAAUGGCAAAAGCGGCACUAAAUAAACUGUGUCUUCCAAAAAAAGCAAUCCCUUUAAAAAUAAUAAGAAAUCCAUUCACAUGAUCUAUGCUGCAAAGUUACAAAUGCUGGUUUUCUUUCAGUUAUAUUCUAAAUGCUCCUUACUCACAAAACACAACUGCUUAACAAUUUUGCCACAAUUAACAGUCUCAGGGUCCUUCUAUGUCCUCUUAUUCGACUUCUCUAUGUUUCUCUUAUUUCAGGUUUCUGAAACACUGCCUAGAUCUCACUGAACUACAAAAAGCACAUGGUAUUAACAGCU
Molecule: RNA transcript, 2561 nt
Organism: Falco peregrinus (peregrine falcon)
Lineage: Eukaryota; Metazoa; Chordata; Aves; Falconiformes; Falconidae
Exons: 5
Source: RefSeq, a predicted model, not a curated record